AUACUUUUGAAAACUUGGCAGCACAUAUCCUAAAAUUGGAAUGAUACAGAGAAGAUUAGCUUGGUCCCAAAAGAGGAACAACUGUAAUAAUCUGAACAAUAAAGAUUUUUU
Molecule: non-coding RNA, 111 nt
Organism: Myotis lucifugus (little brown bat)
Lineage: Eukaryota; Metazoa; Chordata; Mammalia; Chiroptera; Vespertilionidae
Source: Rfam